UCCGAAGAUGACUGCAUUAAUUGCAGCUCUCACUAAUGGAAAGGAGCCUGUUUCUUUGUCCACGUGGUCAAAUGAAGCCUGGGCAUGGAUGGUCACUUAGCUCUGGGUGUAGGGAGGUGCAAGAUUUAGCCUAGGGCCCAGGCCCCCCCAGUCUGACAUCUCCCAUUUCUAGGCCACCUGGGACCUCCCAGAAUCUGCGACAGCAUGAAUAGGACAUAAGGGUGGUGGGGGCGCCGGGGGGCCUCAUCCUUAUAGCAUCGCCCCCCAAUUCACUCCUAGUUAACCCUGUUGUCGCCAACUUAGUGAAAACCUCGCCUAUGUCUCCAUCACACAUCUGCCACCUCCAAGUGAUGGUUAAGCCGGUGUGCAGGCCGGUGGUGACAGGGAUGGGGACAGCGCAGUCCCCAUCCCCGCACCAGGCAGCACCGCCACUUCCUCGCCAGCCUGGCCGCAGCCCUCCCCGUCCCGGGCCGCGCCGCUUUGACUGAUCUCCCCUAUUUUCAAAAGGGAGAACUGAGCCUCUUUUUCUUCUCUUUUCUUUCUUUUUUUAGAGACAAGGUUUCGUUUUGUCACCCCGGCUGGAGUGCAGUGGUGUGAUCAUGGCUCACUACGUCCUUGAACUCCUGGGCUCAAGCGAUCCUCCCCGUUCAAGCCUCCUGAAUGGCUAGGACUACAGGCACGCACCACCACGCCUGGCUAAUUUUUAUUUUUAAAUUUUUAUGAAGACGAGGUCUUACUAUGUUGCCCAGGCUCGUCUCAAACUCCUGGCCUCAAGCAAUCCUCCCCCGUUAGCCUCCCAAGGCAUGAGCCACUGCGCCUGGCUCUUUUUCUUUCUUAUUUUCAAUUUGUACUGCCUUUACAGCAGCAGUGUAGGUAGCGCCUCCUGAAGAAAUGCAAGUCGAAAAGGGGAACAUAUUAUUUCCCAGUCUCCAGAAGAAACGCAGUCCUGCUGGUAUCCUGAUUUUAGCCCAGUGAAGCCAAUUUUGGACUUCCGACCUUCAGAACUGUAAGAUAAUAUAGCUGUUUUAGGUUGUGCUGUUUUAAGCCAUUAAAUUUGUGGCACUUUGUGGCAUCAACAAUAAGAAACUAAUACACUAAUCAAUAUACUCCUUGUUAUAUGAUAAGGCAAAAAAACAAAAAACAAACUAUGUGUACACAGUAGAUCACUAUUGUAGCUGGCUACCAUAUGAGAAUCACCUCAGAAACACAUUGAACGUAACUGUGAUUGCUUUUUCAUCAUUUACUCUGUCCACUGACCUAGAUUACAGAAUUCUGGGUGAGACACACUCGAUUUAAUAAUUGAAGUGUUAAAGUUUUAUGGCAUGAAUAUUUAAUACAAAUAGGGGUUAAUUCCAACCAUGUCUCUUUCAUUCCUCCUGGAGACCUGUUUGUAUCAUUGGAAAUGGUCUGACUGCUAAUUACAGAGGCCUAAACUAACAGGCGCUUAGUUAAGAUAGGGGCAUAUUUUUCACUCGUAAAAAGUGAUUCACAGGUAGGCAAUCCAGAGAUUGCACAGAUGCUCCAGAUAUUUUCCGUGUUUCAGAGUCCUACGUGUGCUCUGCCUGCCUUAGUUUUUAAUUCUCAUGGUUACAAGACGUCCACCUUAGCGCCAUAAGAAACAUCCCAUAUUACAGGCAGGAAGAGGGGAAAAGGGAAAGGAUAAAAAGGUGCCUGCCGGUGGAGUAAGUCUAACCCUGAAAGAAUGUUCCUGAAGGCCCAGCAAGGCUCCCACGUGCACGUCAUCACUGGGCACCAGCACGUGCAGGGAAAACUAGGCAGUGUAGGUUCUUUGUAAAGCUAAGUGCGUUGCCACCCAAGUAUCAGAGGGGCUCUGGGACUUAGAAGAAAAGGUAGAGGAGGCAUCAGGUAGGCAAUUAGUGGUUUCUGAUGUGCUGUUCUUUCCAGACAGCUCAGGGUAUUUGGAUGCUCUCUCCUGCCCUCCUGCUACCUAAACUUGGGUGAGACUGGUGUGUCUGGAUGACAGGUUGAGAAAAAUUCACGUUUAUUAGUUGUUCAUACUGUUCUUUGAGGAAACACAGAGGUUUUUCAGAACUGCUUUAGGGAUUCCACAGACAAUAUAUAUUUUUCUUUUAAAUAUGAAGGUUUAGGCUGGGCGCAGUGGGGUUACAUGUUUAAUCCCUGCACUUCUAGGAGGCCAAGGUGGGCGGGUCACUUGAGGUCAGGAGUUUGAGACCAGCCUGGCCAACAUGGUGAAACCCCAUCUCUCCUAUAAAUACAAAAAUUAUCCAGGUGUGGUGCCACGUGCCUGUAAUCCCAGCUACUCAGGAGGCUGAGGCAGGAGAAUCACUUAAACCAGGGAGGUGGAGGGUGGAGGUUGCACUGAGCCGAGAUCACGCCACUACCCUCCAGCCUAGGGAACAGAGCAAGACUCCGUCUCAAAAAAAAAAAAAAAAAAAAAGGAAGGUUUAAUGUUCCCAUGGAGCACAACUAUUAAUUUUUAUAAUUUAUAUCAGAGAUUCUUAAACAUUCUUUUUUUUGGUCUUAUUUUUUGUUACCAUAGCAGAACAGAUUUUAAACAUUCUCGAUUCAAUUCUUCACGGCCACAGUCAAAAGAAAUACUUAACAGCUCGCUUUAAUAACAUAUAACUUUUAUGUUCUAACAAGUUAGAAGUGAUUUGAAAAAAAUCAUAGACUCCUGGCUUCACAAGGGAAGCUACAGACCUUUCUGGUGAGUAUUACAGCUCAUGAACACAGGGCAGACCCAAACAGUGCGCAGCCGCAACACUUAUCACAAACAGCAAAACAACAAACAGCUGUUUGCCCUGCUGGUUCAGGUGGCCUGCUUUUAUUCCCUUAUUUGGCCCCACCCACAUGUUGCUGAUAGGUCCAUUUUACAGAGAGUUGAUUGGUCCAUUUUAUAGAGUGCUGAUUGGCCCAUUUUACAGAGUGCUGAUUGGUCUGUUUUUACUGAGUGCUGAUUGGUGUGUUUACAAACCUUUAGCUAGACACAGAGCACUGAGUGGUGCAUUUAUAAUCCUUUAGCUAGACAGAAAAGUUCUCCAAGUCCCCACCCAAUCCAGAAGCCCAGCUGGCUUCACGUCUCAGCAGCUCACUGCAACCUCCUCCUCCCAGAGAUGGGGUUUCACCAUGUUGGUGAAAGAUUCUCCCGAGGCCUGAAAGCUUGAAGGGAUGAGUAACUCCUCCCUUCUCAGGCACAGUCCCAGGGCGCAAAGCCACUUGCACCAGCAGCCUGCGUCAGCAAGAUAGCAGAAGCAGGAAGAGAGCUGGCCAGAAGACACCUACCCUUGAAGAUUGAGAAAGAGGCCAUCCAGG
Gorilla gorilla gorilla (western lowland gorilla) is the source of this 3294-nucleotide long non-coding RNA. RefSeq lists it as uncharacterized. The transcript is spliced from 2 exons. The record is from RefSeq and is a predicted model, not a curated record. Lineage: Eukaryota; Metazoa; Chordata; Mammalia; Primates; Hominidae.